AAGUUUGAUCAUGGCUCAGGAUGAACGCUGGCGGCGUGUUUAAGGCAUGCAAGUCGAACGGUCCGAUGUUUAAUCGGACAGUGGCAAACGGGUGAGUAACACAUUGGUAAUUUACCGGAAAGCGUGGAAUAACCUUGAGAAAUCAGGGCUAAUACCACAUGUGCCCAGAACUUUUUAUAAAGUAUUGGGUAAAGGCCGCAAGGUCACUUUUCGAGAAGCCUAUGGCCUAUCAGGUUGUUGGUGGGGUAAUGGCCUACCAAGCCAAUGACGGGUAGCGGGUGUGAGAGCACGUCCCGCCUCAUUGGGACUGAGACACUGCCCAAUCUCCUACGGGGGGCUGCAGUCAAGAAUCUUCCUCAAUGGCCGAAAGGCUGAAGGAGCGACGCCGCGUGCAGGAUGAAGCUCUUCGGAGUGUAAACUGCUUUUCUGAGAGAAGAACCUUCGGGUGACGGUACCUCAGGAAUAAGCCGCCGCUAACUUCGUGCCAGCAGCUGCGGUAAGACGAAGGCGGCAAGCGUUAUCCGGAUUUACUGGGCGUAAAGCGUGUGUAGGCCGUUUGACAAGUUUCUGGUUAAAGCCCUUUGCUUAACAUUGGGAGCGCUGGAAAAACUAUCAGACUAGAGGCCGGGAAAGGCAAGUGGAAUUGCCGGUGUAGGGGUUAAAUCCGUUAAUAUCGGCAGGAACACCAAAUGCGAAGGCAACUUGCUGGAACGGUCCUGACGCUGAGACACGAAAGCGUGGGUAGCGAACAGGAUUAGAUACCCUGGUAGUCCACAGCUGUAGACGAUGUGCACUAGAUGUUGGGGGAGUUGACCCCUUCAGUGUCGCAGCUAACGCGAUAAGUGCACCGCCUGGGGAGUACGGCCGCAAGGUUAAAACUCAAAGGAAUUGACGGGGGCCCGCACAAGCGGUGGAGUAUGUGGUUUAAUUCGAUGCAACGCGAAGAACCUUACCUGGUCUUGACAUCCCGGGGAUCUCCUGGAAACAGGGGAGUGCUUCUUAAGGAAGAGCCCGGAGACAGGUGCUGCAUGGCUGUCGUCAGCUCGUGUCGUGAGAUGUUGGGUUAAGUCCCGUAACGAGCGCAACCCACGCCUUUAGUUGCCAUCAUUUGGUUGGGCACUCUAGAGGGACAGCCCCGGUUAACGGGGAGGAAGGUGUGGAUGACGUCAAGUCCUCAUGGCCCUUAUGGCCAGGGCUACACACGUACUACAAUGGACGGUACAAAGGGCAGCGACACUGCGAGGUGGAGCUAAUCCUGAAAGCCGUUCUCAGUCCGGAUCGGAGUCUGCAACUCGACUCCGCGAAGCUGGAAUCGCUAGUAAUCGUGGAUCAGAAAGUCACGGUGAAUACGUUCCCGGGCCUUGUACACACCGCCCGUCACACCACGAAAGUCGGCUGUACCAGAAGACGUUGAGCUAACCUUCGGGAGGCAGGCGUCCAAGGUAUGGCUGGUAAUUGGGGUGAAGUCGUAACAAGGUAA
Molecule: ribosomal RNA, 1480 nt
Filed under: uncultured Pseudomonadota bacterium
Lineage: Bacteria; Pseudomonadati; Pseudomonadota
Description: bacterial SSU rRNA
Rfam family: Bacterial small subunit ribosomal RNA
Source: RNAcentral